Molecule: ribosomal RNA, 253 nt
Filed under: uncultured bacterium
Lineage: Bacteria
Description: partial 16S ribosomal RNA
Rfam family: Bacterial small subunit ribosomal RNA
Source: RNAcentral
UACAGAGGGUGCGAGCGUUAAUCGGAGUUACUGGGCGUAAAGGGCGCGUAGGCGGACGUUUAAGUUAGAUGUGAAAGCCCUGGGCUUAACCUAGGAACUGCAUAUAAGACUGGACGACUAGAGUACUGUAGAGGGUAGUGGAAUUUCCGGUGUAGCGGUGAAAUGCGUAGAGAUCGGAAGGAACACCAGUGGCGAAGGCGGCUACCUGGACAGAUACUGACGCUGAGGCGCGAGAGCGUGGGGAGCAAACAGG